UACAUCAAUCUGCAGUUAUACC
RNAcentral lists this non-coding RNA (22 nucleotides) under Arabidopsis thaliana (thale cress). Lineage: Eukaryota; Viridiplantae; Streptophyta; Magnoliopsida; Brassicales; Brassicaceae. The record is from RNAcentral.